This 663-nucleotide ribosomal RNA is filed under the name Triticum aestivum (bread wheat). RNAcentral's name for it is "partial small subunit ribosomal RNA". The record is from RNAcentral. Lineage: Eukaryota; Viridiplantae; Streptophyta; Magnoliopsida; Poales; Poaceae.
AUGGCGCCGGUGAAGGUGUUCGGGCCGGCCAAGUCGAUCAACGUGGCGCGGGUGCUGCUCUGCCUGGAGGAGGUCGGCGCGGAGUACGAGCUCGUCCACAUGGAUCUCUUCCAGGCCAAGGAGCAGAAUAGCCCCGAGCACCUCGCCAGAAACCCGUUUGGGAAGGUCCCGGCCUUACAAGACGGCGAUCUGGUCCUCUUCGAGGCCCGUGCGAUCGCGAAGUACGUGCUCCGCAAGUACAAGACGGAGCAGGCGGACCUGCUGAGGGAGGGCGACCUGGAGGAGGCCGCCAUGGUGGACGUGUGGACGGAGGUGGAGGCGCACCAGUACCACCAGGCCCUGCGGCUCAUCAUGCUCGAGUGCUUCCUCAACCCCACCCUGCGCGGCCUCCCCACGAACCAGGCGGUCGUCGACGAGGCCGUUGAGAAGACGAAGAAGGUUCUUGAGAUCUACGAGGCGCGCCUGUCCGAGCACAGGUACCUCGCCGGAGACUUCUUCAGCUUCGCGGACCUCAACCAUUUCGCGAGCACUUUCUACAUCGUCGACGCGACGCCGUAUGGGUCGCUUCUCGACUCGUACCCUCGCGUGAAGGCCUGGUGGGAGGACCUCAUGUCCCGGCCCUCGUUCAAGAAGAUCAGCGCCAAUAUGACCACCAAGGUUUAG